RNAcentral lists this non-coding RNA (83 nucleotides) under Dorea formicigenerans CAG:28. RNAcentral's name for it is "drum RNA". It matches the Rfam family "drum RNA", at positions 29 to 112 of the family's 112-position model. From Rfam's summary of the family: Firmicutes, Bacteroidetes (1 example), Proteobacteria (2 examples), Spirochaetes (2 examples). Terminator (Clostridia) Lineage: Bacteria; Bacillati; Bacillota; Clostridia; Lachnospirales; Lachnospiraceae. The record is from Rfam by way of RNAcentral.
GAGCAGUGCCUUAUGAGCUUUAUAAGGGUUUGACAUUUACCACAAUCUGGCUAGAGGUUAAUCCUCGAAAGAAAAUGUUAGAA